UAGGGAAUCUUCGGCAAUGGACGAAAGUCUGACCGAGCAACGCCGCGUGAGUGAAGAAGGUUUUCGGAUCGUAAAACUCUGUUGGUAGAGAAGAACGUUGGUGAGAGUGGAAAGCUCAUCAAGUGACGGUAGCUACCCAGAAAGGGACGGCUAACUACGUGCCAC
RNAcentral lists this ribosomal RNA (165 nucleotides) under uncultured bacterium. RNAcentral's name for it is "partial 16S rRNA". It matches the Rfam family "Bacterial small subunit ribosomal RNA", at positions 355 to 511 of the family's 1533-position model. The record is from RNAcentral.